This 1115-nucleotide long non-coding RNA is filed under the name Zostera marina. RNAcentral describes it as "long non-coding RNA (ZMAR_LNC005571)". The record is from RNAcentral. Lineage: Eukaryota; Viridiplantae; Streptophyta; Magnoliopsida; Alismatales; Zosteraceae.
UUCGUGAUAAAAAUAUUUAAAUGUAAUCAGAUUGUAUUUACACAGUUGUAUUCAGGUGAAAAAAUCGCACAUGAAUGAAUGAAUUUGCGAUAUCUAAAUCGCUAUUGUUCAUUUUCAAUGUCAACGUAUUCCUUUACAAUUGCACUCACCCGUAUUUAUAAAGACCUCGUCGGCGGAAAAACUGACUUUCUUGUUCCACGUUAUUCGCUAUAAGAUCACCGCCAUCUUGAAUGAUUUGAAUGUUCAUAUUCCUUCCCUCCGCAAGGGCAUCUUUCGAAGCUUGAAGCUUAAUCGUAUCAUAUAUGUUUCAGGGCCGCUUCUCUUUUUCUUUCCAAGCGAAGCGGCCAUACUCCUCCCCGCACUCCGCACAUUGAGAUAUAUAUAUAUAUAAGUUAUGAAUUUCUAAUAAUCAUCACCCGUACUGCUUUGCAAUCCUCCCUCCAGUGACCAUAGGACGAGCAAGGUAAGAGACCUUGAGAAAUUCCUUUUUUUCUAUCCUUCUUUCCUUGAAUCAGCAGACGAACCAUAGAUGGAUAAGCAAAAUCGUAUGUGACAACUACACGUGCCUGACCAAUUGCAUUUUCCCCGACGCGAGGAAGUUUAACGUCACACCCAAUUCAGCUACGUCCGACAAGCACUCUCGGUACGGUGGUCCCUGAAGAGAUGAUCAUGUAAAUCGACCUGGGGGUCGACCGCAGUUGAGAAGGUUGAAGUUGGGGAAGGUGACGCCGACCGAAGGAAGGGUUUAAAGAAGAGAUUUGGUGGAAAAGAUGCAUGGGGUUUAUUACACCCAAUCAUUUAUAUUAUUACUCAGAUAUUUUAGUUGGGCCCAAUAUUUGUUGGGCCUUCAAUUGUAUUACAAUGUCAUAGAUGAUUAAAGACGAAAUUACAUCUUAAUUACUCUUCAAGUUUGAUUAAGUUACUUGAGGAGUGUCCUUCAUCAUCGUUAAUGGCUUCGACAAUCCAAUUAUCUACACAAAGACAAUGUUUUGCACUUUUGCUGAUUCCAGUUAAUGAUUUCAAUAAGAGUUUUUCUUGUUUUUGUGAUUAUGUUAUUGUUGUUUUUGUUCAUUGAAUUUCACUCGAGUUGUACUUUCUGCAAAAUUUAAUCUGGU